GCAGAUGUAGCAGUAGCUGCGGUAACUGGAAUUGUCACUGGCUUGUGUGUGGGCCCAAUAAUACCAAUUUGUGGUCGUUGGCUAGCCAAAGCUUCGAUCUUGAAAUUCCUGCUACAUUUCACUGUGGUUAUGUUAUUCCUGCUGCAUUUCACUGUGGUUAUGUUGGCGGUAUCAUCACAGCUCUUUCCUUAUAGCAAAGAUGCACCGAAGAGAGUUAUACUGCAACACACAUUCUUCUCUGCGGGUAGCCCUUUACUCACCC
This 262-nucleotide long non-coding RNA is filed under the name Brassica napus (rape). RNAcentral describes it as "long non-coding RNA (BNAP_LNC006320)". Lineage: Eukaryota; Viridiplantae; Streptophyta; Magnoliopsida; Brassicales; Brassicaceae. The record is from RNAcentral.